This 302-nucleotide ribosomal RNA is filed under the name uncultured bacterium. RNAcentral describes it as "partial 16S ribosomal RNA". It matches the Rfam family "Bacterial small subunit ribosomal RNA", at positions 508 to 809 of the family's 1533-position model. The record is from RNAcentral.
GCAGCAGCCGCGGGAAUACAGAGGGUGCGAGCGUUAAUCGGAUUUACUGGGCGUAAAGCGUGCGUAGGCGGCUUUUUAAGUCGGAUGUGAAAUCCCUGAGCUUAACUUAGGAAUUGCAUUCGAUACUGGGAAGCUAGAGUAUGGGAGAGGAUGGUAGAAUUCCAGGUGUAGCGGUGAAAUGCGUAGAGAUCUGGAGGAAUACCGAUGGCGAAGGCAGCCAUCUGGCCUAAUACUGACGCUGAGGUACGAAAGCAUGGGGAGCAAACAGGAUUAGAUACCCCUGUAGUCCCUGUCUCUUAUAA